This 329-nucleotide ribosomal RNA is filed under the name uncultured eukaryote. Its description in RNAcentral is "partial 18S ribosomal RNA". It matches the Rfam family "Eukaryotic small subunit ribosomal RNA", at positions 1470 to 1796 of the family's 1831-position model. The record is from RNAcentral.
CCCUUAGAUGUUCUGGGCCGCACGCGCGCUACACUGACGAUGGCAACGAGUUUUUCCUUCGCCGAAAGGUGUGGGUAAUCUUUUGAAACAUCGUCGUGCUGGGGAUAGAUCAUUGCAAUUUUUGAUCUUGAACGAGGAAUUCCUAGUAAGCGCGAGUCAUCAGCUCGCGUUGAUUACGUCCCUGCCCUUUGUACACACCGCCCGUCGCUACUACCGAUUGAAUGGUUUAGUGAGGACUCCUGAUUGGCGCCGCCGCCCCGGCAACGGAGCAGCGGACUGCCGAAAAGUUGUUGAAACUUGAUCAUUUAGAGGAAGUAAAAGUCGUAACA